AUGAGGUGCUUGCACCUUAUCUUAGCGGCGGACGGGUGAGUAAUGCUUAGGAAUCUGCCUAUUAGUGGGGGACAACAUUCCGAAAGGAAUGCUAAUACCGCAUACGUCCUACGGGAGAAAGCAGGGGAUCUUCGGACCUUGCGCUAAUAGAUGAGCCUAAGUCGGAUUAGCUAGUUGGUGGGGUAAAGGCCUACCAAGGCGACGAUCUGUAGCGGGUCUGAGAGGAUGAUCCGCCACACUGGGACUGAGACACGGCCCAGACUCCUACGGGAGGCAGCAGUGGGGAAUAUUGGACAAUGGGGGGAACCCUGAUCCAGCCAUGCCGCGUGUGUGAAGAAGGCCUUAUGGUUGUAAAGCACUUUAAGCGAGGAGGAGGCUACUGAGACUAAUACUCUUGGAUAGUGGACGUUACUCGCAGAAUAAGCACCGGCUAACUCUGUGCCAGCAGCCGCGGUAAUACAGAGGGUGCGAGCGUUAAUCGGAUUUACUGGGCGUAAAGCGUGCGUAGGCGGCUUUUUAAGUCGGAUGUGAAAUCCCCGAGCUUAACUUGGGAAUUGCAUUCGAUACUGGGAAGCUAGAGUAUGGGAGAGGAUGGUAGAAUUCCAGGUGUAGCGGUGAAAUGCGUAGAGAUCUGGAGGAAUACCGAUGGCGAAGGCAGCCAUCUGGCCUAAUACUGACGCUGAGGUACGAAAGCAUGGGGAGCAAACAGGAUUAGAUAC
This 719-nucleotide ribosomal RNA is filed under the name uncultured Acinetobacter sp. RNAcentral's name for it is "bacterial SSU rRNA". It matches the Rfam family "Bacterial small subunit ribosomal RNA", at positions 71 to 785 of the family's 1533-position model. Lineage: Bacteria; Pseudomonadati; Pseudomonadota; Gammaproteobacteria; Moraxellales; Moraxellaceae. The record is from RNAcentral.